CAAUGUCAUAUUGAUUCUUCAAGUAGAUCAGAUGAACCAGUUAGCUUCACAUGCUCCCCGUGUCCUGGAAGCUAAGUUUAAUUUUCAAUAUUUAUAUUUGAGGGUGUCUGGGUUAAAUGCAUUGAUAGAUUUAUAGGCAAAAAUACUAUUUUGAAAUGUUAUGUUUUAUCUUAACUUUCAUUGUUAUCACAAUAAAUACCAGAAAAUAUUGUGAUAGGGUUUUAAGUCCAUAUUGCCCAGUUCUAAUCUUCUUUUAAUUUUUAAUGUUUUUACAGUUAGAAUUAUAAAUUAAAUUGUCAAACAGUCUAGAAUUAAUUAUAGCAAAAUUCAAAAGCUUCUAUUUUUGCUUUCAUAUAUUUUUUGAUCUGACCCAGAGGAGUUGGUGCUUUUGCUUUACCAAUGAUGAACCUCGCUGCACGUCACUGAUGUGGGAUAUCAAACAUUGCUUCAUCAUUCAUCUAGAUUAUCUGUGAAUAUUUUUUACUUUAUUGUGUAAAGAGUUUGAAUAGAACCAAAAGUGGAAACUGAUACUGAGUUCUUAUCUCCACCAGAAUACCAGUGUUGAUGUUUGACAGGAAUGCAGUCUAAAAGCUGCCUGUGUCGACUUAAAUUUAAAUCCAGAUGAGCUGUUCAAGGAAUUCUUGGAAGUAAUUUUUUUUUUCAUUUUAAGGAUGUGGAUCUGCCUGCACCAUGUAACUUCCAAGUUUUGAAUGCACUUUAGAACAACACUCAGCAACACCACAUAUGAGCGGGUGGUCUUCACACCCCUGUUUUCUGUUCACCAUUGGGGGUGGGGGGCCAAAAGGAGGAGUUGGCCAUCUGGUUGGGGUCUGGAAUGCUGGGCCUCCCUGCUGGUGCAGGACCAGGGGCAGUCUGCUUGUCUCCAUCCCAGGGCAAAGGACAACAUCUCUUGGGUAUGGGGAUGGAUUGCUCCUCUGGGGCUGAUGGUCUGUGGGACCCAGGAAGACUGUAUACCUGCAUCUUUACCAACUUGCAUUGCAGUUUCUGUGCACUCCAGCCUCUUCUGUUCUAUGUGAGAGGAUUUUCUCUUUUCAAGAAAACAAACAGUCUCAGCUGUUGCACAGUGGAACAAAUUCUCUUGUUAAAUAACAACCAAACAGGAUGCCCUUAAAUGUAUCAUGUUUUUACUUUACAAGUUCAGAAGCAUUUUUCCUUUCCAGUUCACAAUCAAGUCUACUCCUAGGUUUAAAAAUAUGUAUAAGAAAAUUGGCCUAAUAUGAUAUUAUUGAUAAACAUAGACCAGGGUUUUUAUGAUGUAUUUAUGACUGUAUUGUGUUUUUGCCUUGUAAAGCACUUUGUGACACGUCUGUGAAAGGUGCCAUAUAAAUAAACUUUACUUACUUACUUACAUACAUACCUUUCCAGCUGUCCAGUGAUUAAUUACAUAAGUACCUGGAGACAGGACGUCACAGCAGAAGCAUACUCCAUAAUGUGUUGUACAUUUUUAUAUGUAUAUUACAUGCAUUUUUCAUCUAUGGUAUGUACCACCAUCAAGAAG
Oreochromis aureus is the source of this 1519-nucleotide long non-coding RNA. Lineage: Eukaryota; Metazoa; Chordata; Actinopteri; Cichliformes; Cichlidae. The record is from Ensembl.